This 250-nucleotide ribosomal RNA is filed under the name uncultured prokaryote. RNAcentral's name for it is "partial 16S ribosomal RNA". It matches the Rfam family "Bacterial small subunit ribosomal RNA", at positions 524 to 773 of the family's 1533-position model. The record is from RNAcentral.
UACAGAGGCCAAGAGCGUUGUUCGGAUUUACUGGGCGUAAAGGGCGCGUAGGCUGCGCGGCGUGUCAAGUGUGAAAUCUCCGGGCCCAACCCGGAAAGUGCGCUUGAAACUACCGCGCUCGAGUGCGGAAGGGGGAGUCGGAAUAUAGGGUGUAGCGGUGAAAUGCGUUGAUAUCCUAUAGAACACCGGAGGCGAAGGCGGACUCCUUGUACGCAACUGACGCUGAGGCGCGAAAGCCGGGGGAGCAAAC